AAUAGGAAGUUCUGCUGCGGCUGUCGCGCACCACGCGUAUGCCGAGAUGAACGCCUCCAUUCGAUGGCUUUCUUGGGCCGGUCAGUCCGUGGCGAGGAAUCCCACGGGCUCUGGCUCCAAAUGCCGCGCUAAUUGAUCAGGCCGGAAACGGAGCAGUCAAGCGC
Molecule: non-coding RNA, 164 nt
Filed under: Picochlorum sp. RCC944
Lineage: Eukaryota; Viridiplantae; Chlorophyta; Trebouxiophyceae
Source: RNAcentral